CCCUUAGAUGUCCGAGGCUGCACGCGCGCUACAAUGACGUAUUCAACAAGUUUUGCAAGGUCGAAAGACAUAGCUUAAUCUUCAAUGUACGUCGUGAUGGGGAUUGACGAUUGCAAUUUUUCGUCAUCAACGAGGAAUUCCUAGUAAACGCAAGUCAUCAACUUGCAUUGAUUACGUCCCUGCCCUUUGUACACACCGCCCGUCGCUACUACCGAUUGAAUGGUUUAGUGAGUAGGUAGGAUCGGUUCUCCGCUAUUACCCGCAAACUGAACCAUUUAGAGGAAGUAAAANUCGUANCA
Molecule: ribosomal RNA, 299 nt
Filed under: uncultured eukaryote
Lineage: Eukaryota
Description: partial 18S ribosomal RNA
Rfam family: Eukaryotic small subunit ribosomal RNA
Source: RNAcentral